Molecule: microRNA precursor, 127 nt
Filed under: Myotis brandtii (Brandt's bat)
Lineage: Eukaryota; Metazoa; Chordata; Mammalia; Chiroptera; Vespertilionidae
Description: mir-9193 microRNA precursor family
Rfam family: mir-9193 microRNA precursor family
Source: Rfam by way of RNAcentral
CGUGCACCAGUGGGGUCCCUCGGCCUGGCCUGCGCUCUCUCGAAAUCUGGGACCCCUUGGGGAAUGUCGAAGAGCCGGUUUCGGCCCGAUCCCUGCAGGCCAGGCUGAGGGACCCCACUGGUGCACG